CUAAGAAUAUUCCGCAAUGGACGGAAGUCCGACGGAGCGACGCCGCGUGGAUGACGAAGGCCGAAAGGUUGUAAAGUUCUUUUGCUGGGGAAGAAUAACCGCAGGAGGGAAUGCCUGUGGGAUGACAAGAACCGGCGAAUAAGCCCCGGCCAACUACGUGCCAGCAGCCGCGGUAACACGUAGGGGGGCGAGCGUUGUUCGGAAUUACUGGGGCGUAAAGGGCAUGUAGGCGGCUUGGAAAGCCUGGCGUGAAAGUCUGCAGCUUAACUGCAGGGGUGCGCUGGGAACUGCUGAGCUUGAGUGACGGGAGAGGGAGCUGGGAAUUCCUGGGUGUAGGGGGUGAAAUCUGUAGAUAUCAGGAAGAACACCGAUGGCGAAGGCAAGCUCCUGGCCGAUGACUGACGCUGAGGU
RNAcentral lists this ribosomal RNA (411 nucleotides) under uncultured bacterium. RNAcentral's name for it is "partial 16S ribosomal RNA". It matches the Rfam family "Bacterial small subunit ribosomal RNA", at positions 355 to 752 of the family's 1533-position model. The record is from RNAcentral.